UUGACCCCAAACCCCCUCCCAGUGCUCCCAGUACAAACCAGUAUUCCCAGUAUGGCUCCCAGUGCUCCCAGUAUAAACCAGUGACCCCACCCAGUGCUCCCAGUAUGGACCAGUAUGGCUCCCAGUGCUCCCAGUAUGGCUCCCAGUGCUCCCAGUAUGGACCAGUUUGGCUCCCAGUGCUCCCAGUAUGAACCAGUGACCCCUCCCAGUGUUCCCAGUAUGGACCAGUAUGGCCCCAACCCUCUCCCAGUAUUCCCAGUAUGGCUCCCAGUGCUCCCAGUAUGAACCAGUGACCCCUCCCAGUGCUCCCAGUAUGGACCAGUAUGACCCAAACCCUCUCCCAGUAUUCCCAGUUUGGCUCCCAGUGCUCCCAGUAUGGCUCCCAGUGCUCCCAGUAUAGAUCCCAGUGGUCCCAGUAUGACCCAGUUUGGCUCCCAGUGCUCCCAGUAUAAACCAGUAACCCCCAAUCCUACCCAGUAACCCCUCCCAGUUUGAUCCCAGUCCCUCCCAGUCCCUCCCAGUUUGAUCCCAGUCCCUCCCAGUUUGAUCCCAGUCCCUCCCAGUCCCUCCCAGUCCCUCCCAGUUCAUCCCAGUCCCUCCCAGUCCCCCCGGGCCGGGCCUGUCCCAGCAGCUCCUCCCCCGCCAGACCAGUUCUCCCAGUUCUCCCAGUAAC
This 673-nucleotide long non-coding RNA is filed under the name Taeniopygia guttata (zebra finch). RNAcentral describes it as "lncRNA (ENSTGUG00000022766.1)". Lineage: Eukaryota; Metazoa; Chordata; Aves; Passeriformes; Estrildidae. The record is from RNAcentral.